GCUGGGCAUGGUGGCACACACCUGUAGCCCCCACUACUUGGGAGACUGAAGCCCAACACUUGCUUGAGCCCAGGAGUUCUGCGCUGUGGCUGCUAUGCCAAUCAAGUAUCUAGACUAGGUUUGGCAUCAAUAUGGUGACUUCUCAGGAGCAGAGACCACAAGUUUGCCUAAAGAGGGGUGAACCAGCCCAGGUAAAAACCAGGGCAGGUCAAAAUUCCCAUAUUGAUCAGUAAUGGGAUCCUGCCUGUGUUAGACACUGCACUCCAGCCUGAGCAGCAUAGCCAGGCCCUAUCUCU
Molecule: signal recognition particle RNA, 296 nt
Filed under: Cebus imitator (Panamanian white-faced capuchin)
Lineage: Eukaryota; Metazoa; Chordata; Mammalia; Primates; Cebidae
Description: Metazoan signal recognition particle RNA (ENSCCAG00000004584.1)
Rfam family: Metazoan signal recognition particle RNA
About the family: The signal recognition particle (SRP) is a universally conserved ribonucleoprotein. It is involved in the co-translational targeting of proteins to membranes.
Source: RNAcentral